GAUGAACGCUGGCGGCGUGCCUAAUACAUGCAAGUCGAACGCAUUGUGGUUGAAAUGAUAUGAAGAACUUGUUCAGAUUUGAUUUUCAACAUUGCAAUGAGUGGCGAACGGGUGAGUAACACGUGGGAAACCUACCUCUUAGCAGGGGAUAACAUUUGGAAACAAAUGCUAAUACCGUAUAAUAAUUAAAACCGCAUGGUUUUAGUUUAAAAGAUGGUCUUGCUAUCACUAAGAGAUGGUCCCGCGGUGUAUUAGUUAGUUGGUGAGGUAAUGGCUCACCAAGACAAUGAUACAUAGCCGAGUUGAGAGACUGACCGGCCACAAUGGGACUGAGACACGGCCCAUACUCCUACGGGAGCAGCAGUAGGGAAUCUUCCACAAUGGACGAAAGUCUGAUGGAGCAACGCCGCGUGUGUGAUGAA
This 422-nucleotide ribosomal RNA is filed under the name uncultured bacterium. RNAcentral describes it as "bacterial SSU rRNA". It matches the Rfam family "Bacterial small subunit ribosomal RNA", at positions 28 to 412 of the family's 1533-position model. The record is from RNAcentral.